This 5202-nucleotide long non-coding RNA is filed under the name Androctonus crassicauda. The record is from RNAcentral. Lineage: Eukaryota; Metazoa; Arthropoda; Arachnida; Scorpiones; Buthidae.
AAAAUGGACCGUAGACUUCAAAGAGCACUUUCUACGUCUUAUUAAUCAAAACUAAAUAUUUAAAACUGACAGUUUUAUGACUUUCGUUAUAAUGACCAUAGACUAUCGCUUCUAAAGUUUUGAAUUAAAAAAACAAAAAACUGGAAACAAAUAUUUCCUUAGAACUCCUGAGGGGAGAAAUUCAUCCCGUCUCUUUUCAACGAAUAAAAAUCAGUCGUUCAGAGUAAUAACUCAAUAUCCAUCUGCCGUCCACCUGUGUCAGGUGCGUUUGGUGUCUAGUUCGAGGAAAAGCGUGUGGCAGCAGUCGACAUAUGAACUAAUGCGGUUCUACAACGUUCCAGACCGAACUUAGCUAAGGUGGCGCCAUGUCACUGUUAAAUUCUUGCAUUCGGCGCCUACCGGCAGGCUCGGAAUUAACUUUCCUUCCCCCGAGAAGAAUCUCACUUCAUUUAGAAGUCGAAUGGACGAACAGCCAGUACGUGUUAGUUCUUAACAGGAAGACGUUAUAAGUAUUGUAUUUUUUACUAAACUACUUUGAUCUAGGCAUGCAUAAAGUCCGGCCUGCAGAAGGAUCGACACAGUUCGCCAUUCCAUCGGUUUUUAGCGCCAAAAUUCAUCCCAGUCUAUUUUUAUCGAGCUAAAAACAGACGGAUUUCGCCAUUAGAUUGGGGAUGGACUCAAACGGGCAGAACUAAGAUCGUCUCUGGUUAGGAAAAGCAUCCAUCGAGCGGGACGUAACCUGUGCCAUUUCUUCACUCUAAAAGUGGCUUAGUUAGAGGCGUUCAAUAUGACCAAUCUGGCCCAGAAUGUGAACAUUUUAGUCUGUUUGCGAUAGAUAGUUCACGAUUGAUGUUGGAUUUUUUUUUGCCGAUAUGGUUGAAAAACUGUGCAAAUGCGGGCUGAGUUCAGUUAGUAAAAAACAUACUAAACGCAGUCUUAUAUCGAAAGCAAAACUAAAACAAUAAAAAGUUUUGUAGACACUUGUAGUUUUGUCAUUGUAAUCGAUGGAUGCGUGAGCGGCGAGCUCAAUUGACCGCCAACGAAAAGCAUCGAAGUUGAAGGCGGCGGUCGCCUUGUUCUUCCUUCUUACGUAAAGGAAAUAAAAAAAAAAGAAAAAAGCGCGGACAACUGACCUCCUCAAGGACGCUCCGGAAGAAAGUGGCCAGCCAGGCUACGCGUAAACAGGAUCAUAAAAGUGAGAAAGCGGCCAUCGAUCGAAAGGUUGUUUAUCGUCCACCGUUUGCGCGGUCGAUGCUUCGAUCGCUUGCUUUACGUAAUGCUUUUUACCUUUCCCGGGAAUGAGCUCGGGCAUGUAGAGCCGGCGUGUCCCCUUCCGCUAUUUAUAUCCCAUCUCCAAUUCCACGUCCGAACUUAGAAGCCGCGGCUUGAGCACCGAUUCCAUCUCACUCCAUAUUCGCCUCUAUCUAUAUAAUAACUACUUCUUUAGAUCGGGUCGGAAAUCUGGAAUUACGACGGAAUAAGAAUUAUACGGAAGAGUCCGAAAAGAGAAGAAGAGGUUUUUUUGUAAUUCGUUUUGAUGGAUGAAACGGAAGAGAAAGCUAUCCUCCCCGCGUAGCGUCAAUGGGAUCGUCCAUUUUUUUUCCCUCGCUCUGCACUUUCCCUGGUCCCUCCUUCGUACUAAUCUCUUUCCACCCCUCAGCUGCCUUGUUUUACUUCGACGCGUCUUCCCCCUUUAUUAAACUACCAAUUUAUUUUUAAGUCACGUGCGGGAUAUCGAUCGCCGCGUUUGGGAGGAUCCCCUUAUGGGGAUAGGGCUUUCUGCCCACCCUCGUAGAAUCUGAGGUUUUUCCAUCACCCAAGCCGGCGUCGGGGAGCAAGCUGCAAUUUUUUGAUCGAAGAAACCGGGAAAUUGGAUUUGGACCGAGUGUCUCUCUCUCCCCUCCUCUCCGCGUCCGGAUGGAUGGAGGGGGACGAUAGACCCUCUUUCUCUCUGUCCUCGGGCGGGUACUUCCUCUUUUUACCAGAAUCGUUCUUUGUUUCAUUUUGCGCUUUUCGUUUGUCCUCUUUCCCCAUUUUCCUUCAAGAUUUAAUUCUUCGAGUCCGACUUGUCUCUCACGAUUUCACUCCAGAAAAAACUUCUACUUUAUAUUUUAUGUAAAAUAAACACUUUCAGCCCAUCUUAGCUAUUAGGAAUUACUAAUCUUAGUUCCCUGAACCACUGUAUUAGGUCCGGUUUCGAUCUCUUAAGCCCGCGCUGAAUCUCAGUCCCAGGAGAGAAACGAUCUAAAGAACGCUCUGGUGUUACGCAAUCCCUUCCCGCUCGGCCGCUCCCCUCGGAUGCGGUAAUGGUAGUGGCCCAAGGGAGGAAAUUCCAAGAAAGUUAAAAAGCAGGGGAGAGCCGAAGAGAGACAGAGAGAGGCAGGAAGGAGACUGAUAAUAACGCCAUGCAGCCCGGAGGAGGUAAGGCAGAUGCGCCAUUCGGCUUACGCCUAGAAACAUGGUUCCAGUUUCUUUUCCGCGGCCCCUUUCUUUUGGAAGCGUCCCGCCUCUCCGGCCACGCGGGGGCGCUCGGAAUAACCGCCAAUGGCAAUUUAAACAUCGGGUCCGCGCGGAAGUAGGCGACGCAGUUUAUCCGGCCCGCUGUCUUCCCGGAUGGAUGCUAUCCGGUUCGACCGUCAAACGGCUUUAUGGAGAAGAAUUUGGAUCUUUAUUUCGGAUCCCUUCCUUUGUUCUGACCAACAUUUUGGACAGCUCGAGUGGGCCGAGUAGAUCGAAAAUGAUACCGCCGCCAUCAUCAACUUUCUUCGGGGGUCCCGGAAAGGGAGUGGCGGUCCUCAGCCUUUAUCGUAUCCCGUGCCCCCAGCCGUUGUGUAAGGGUAACUUCCGCUUUAGUAACAAUUUGAGGUUUCCCGGCCGCGCUGGCUAAGCCGGGUGGUGAACAUUGGGGCCCUAAUUUGGGAUCUCUUUUUUUCUCUCCCUUCCGCGCCCCGUUCGUUCUUCCCCACCCGGGGGAAAGGGGAUAAAAAACGGGAGGACGGCCGGGUUGUAUCUGGGGUCGGGAGGGGGUUUACGUGCCGGGUGCUUUUUACAGGGCCGGUUUAGCCCCGGGCGCCAGCUUGGGAACACGUCGACGAGUAACCCUGAGCUUGACCUUGAAGCCGGCUGCUUGACACAGUUUCCCGGUUCACCACGGCACGCGAGGGUCGUUGUCAUGUGACGCAACGUAUUACGGCAUCCGCGACCCGCCUCCGGCCGCCCAUUGGUCCGACCGCUAAUCCUUUAAACCUGGUGUCGGCAGAGACCGGCGGCGGCAUAGCCAUUGGAUCUCGGCUCAAAGGCACGGCCCAAUGAGAAGAGGGGAUAACGUCAGCGGGCCGGCCGGGAGGGGGAGGAAAGAUCCCCAGCUAGCACUGCGAAGUCGGCCACACGCCGAGCAUGCGGCACCCAUGACUGCUAAGGAAAGGAUUGGUUCCCCGUGCGGUGGAGCGGCCGGGCUCACCGACCUCCAGGUAGGUUCUUUUUCCGAUUGCGUUUACAUUCACUCGAGCUAUGCCCGAUACAUACGAAUCUUCCUUUGCUGAUGCCGGCUUCGGGGUAUAAUUCAGAUCGCGUAUUAGAUAAUUCAGCCAAGCUGAGUCCGAACAGGACGCCAUCUUGACAUCGAUUAUUUCCAAGAAUCAGCCGGCUGGUAAUUGACGUUUUCCGAGAGAAGGGCCAAGAUCUUUUCGAGAUUUAGACGGACCAUGCCCGUAACAGUUUUGUCAGGUUCUCGAGAUCAGAAGAAAGCGGUAAAAAAAAAUCUUCGUGUUUUAUGUUAAUGGAGAAGGACGGCGGAGACGGCAUUGGGUUGCUUCUCCGAUUCCUGCUAAUUGGGCUACGCCUUUCCUUCAAACGUCAGCGUUCGGUCGAAUAAAUUCCGAAUUCAGAGCUGGCCCUGGUUUUUUUUUACUAUUUUAUUUAGCUCAGUAUUACAGCUCGAAAUAGGGACAGAACUUUUUUUCACUGGGAGGAGAGUAAGGAUUUUACCGGCUCGAGAAAGGGUAGUCCUGGUUGUGCAGCCCGCCUCCUCAUCCGCCGAGAGGUGGAGGCCCCCUUCCCGUAACCGACUUUUUUCCUUUGUGUUUCUGACGUCAUUUUACAGCGCGCGUGAGUCACGUGCCCGGGGGAAUGACGUCAGAAAAAGGGAGACGAAAAAAAUGGCGCUUCCCUCCACCUUCUUUGUUUCCACCGUCAGUCUAUCGUCGUACCGGAAAGACGGCCCUUCCUUCCGUUCGGAAAUUUUUAAAUUGGCCCCUCACAGAAAAAAAAAAAACUGGCGAAGGAUAAAACUAACGUAGAAAUUUUUUUUUCUCGUCCAAAUUUGGCUCAAUAUUCUCUACACCCGGAAAUUUUUUGUGGUAUUUACCAACCAAGAAACAUUUCUACUGAAAUCCCCAAAAUUAUCGAGAAACAGAUCAUAAUACCCUCAUCUAUAAAAGACAACACUUGUUAUAUAUUAAAAUAUAUGAACGAUCCGAUUAUUUUUAUUUUAAAACGAAUUAUUUUGCUCGUAGAUCGAAUUCAAACGUAGAAAAUAAUGUAGUCAUGUUAGCUAUGAUGUUUAUUUUAUUUAGAUAGCUAUAUUUGUUAUUUAUCAUCUGCAAAGAACGAAGUUCUCUUCUAACGUUUUAAAAUACCAGUUCCAGAUUCCGGCAUUCACUGGAUAAGAAGUAUUGUACUAGGUAACAAAGGUCAGGGUUACUAGGAAAGUCCAUAAGGAAAAUAAACAGAAAGGAUAAUGUUUAAAAGAUUGGCAUUAAUUAAAAUACCAUCAGACGAACGAUGUAGAUCCGUACACGUAACUAUUCAAUCUAAUCUAUGUUUUUGAAGAACAUGCACUGCAGUUGUAUUGAUAACGAUGAUAUGAUGCUUUUGGACAAUCUAAACGAGAAAAUGCGAACUAUGGUUUAUGCAAAAUUUCACAUAAAUGUCAAGAUCCUGUGAAAAACGGUCUUAUUCCUGGUUACCGGUCACCUUUUUUUAUCGGUUAUAACAUUUGCAAUUCAUCAUUUGCAUUAAGCAGUAGAUCCGAACGCAAAACGAAAUCAAACCGAACUCUGUUCCAAAAAUAUCCAAAAUGCCAAAUUACUAAUUAAUGCCAAGUUCUCGGAAGAUAAAUUGGGCUAUUUCGGCUAAUUUCAAGUACAAUAAAAAAAAAAAAACUCCACUCGCAUUGCAUGAAUCGGAAAAAAAUAAAUUCUC